UGUAGUACUUUUGAAAAGGUACGACUCCAGUGACAGCGUUUGUAUCUUUUUUCUGAGAGUGUAGAUAAAAGUUGAAGAAACUAAUAUGAUAUGGAUAAAACAAGUUUUUGGAUCUUUUCAACUUUUUUGUUACAAUUUCAAGUUUUUUCCCAGGGUGGGAGAGUUUGGGUGUGGGCUCACAUACUCGCGUGAGAGCAAGUCCUGAUGUAAGUAGCUGUUCAGGGUCUGAUACAGGGAAUGAUUCUGAUUGGUCAGCAGACUGAAGGGCAGAGACAUGAUAAGGAUGGAACAGCCUUUGUGUCAUCAUAUGCAAAUGAGCAACAAGCAUUAAAACUCACGACCAAGGGAGCAGCGUUUACGAUCGCUUAAUGGCAUGGAGACAACAGAUUUGUGAAAACAAAAAGACGGGUAAAGGUGACAGAUGAAAGCAAUUAAGAUGUUUUUUAAACACUUCCUGCAGGAGGACUGAGGACACAGAUCUAAAGACAGGAUAUCAUCGUAUACUGUAAGUUCAUUAUUGAGACACUACAGUAUAGAUGAUGUACUAUCCAGGGGGUCAAUACACCUCCGACUGUUUCCUGUGGACCCAAAACCUUUGUGACAGAGAGGGGCGGUGAAACCGUUACCAUUACUGAGUUUAGUAAUGGUAAGGGUUCUCUUGCCUUCUCUCAAAAAUCAUCUGGACAUGAGAGGACCAAGCAUGAGUCGAGUGAACUUCAGAGCAACGGAUGAAGCAGUCAAAACCAGAAGAGUGAACAGAUGGACAAAAUGUUAAGCAGAUUAAAUCAACUAACAAUGAAAUUCUGAUCAUUCUUAUUCUAUACAACUUUAUAGCCUAUAAUGUGUUAUAUGAGACUGCCAUUGUGAGUAAUUGUAAUAAAUAUCACUGAAUUUGAAAUUAAA
This is a long non-coding RNA of Cyprinus carpio (common carp), 903 nucleotides long. RefSeq lists it as uncharacterized. The record is from RefSeq and is a predicted model, not a curated record. Lineage: Eukaryota; Metazoa; Chordata; Actinopteri; Cypriniformes; Cyprinidae. The transcript is spliced from 2 exons.